This is a long non-coding RNA of Callithrix jacchus (white-tufted-ear marmoset), 2910 nucleotides long. RefSeq lists it as uncharacterized. The record is from RefSeq and is a predicted model, not a curated record. Lineage: Eukaryota; Metazoa; Chordata; Mammalia; Primates; Cebidae.
CUGCUAGGACCACCGUCACAAAGCCCCACAGCGUGCGGGGCUUCAACCACAGAAAUCUGUAUUCUCACAAUUCUGGAGACCAGGAGUCUGAGAUCAAGGUGUCGGCAGGGCUGAUGUCUUCUGCAGCCCCUCUCCUUGGUUUAUGAAGACCCUCCCUGUGUCCUCACAGGGUCUUCCCUCUGUGCCUGAUCUCCUGUCAGUCAUACUGGGUGAGGGAUCACUGUAUGGCCUCAUUUGACCUUAAUCUCCUUUUUACAGACUGUCUCCUUACUCAGUCACCCAGGCUGGAGGGCAAUGGCGCGAUCUCGGCUCACCACAACCUCCGCCUCCUGGGUUCAGGCAAUUCUCCUGCCUCAGCCUCCCGAGUAGCUGGGAUUACAGGCACGCACCACCACGCCCAGCUAAUUUUUUGUAUUUUUAGUAGAGACGGGGUUUCACCAUGUUGACCAGGAUGGUCUCGAUCUCUGGACCUCGUGAUCCACCCGCCUCGGCCUCCCAAAGUGCUGGGAUUACAGGCACGCGCGACCACGCCCAGCUAAUUUUUGUAUUUUUAGUAGAGAUGGGGUUUCACUUUGUUGACCAGGAUGGUCUUGAUCUCUGGACCUCGUGAUCCACCCGCCUCGGCCUCCCAAAGGGCUGGGAUUACAGGCUUGAGCCACUGCGCCCAGCCGUAUCCUAAAAAUCUUUUGUGUUGCUGAGCUACUCAUCCCUCCCUCCUGCUAAGCCCUGGUGACAGCUGAUCUUUUCGCUGUCCCCAUAGUUUUACCUUUUCCAGAAUGUCACCUAGUUGGAAUCGCACAGUCCAGUCUUUUUAGACUGGCGUCUUCCACUUCGUAAGCUUCCUCCAUGCCUGGUCAUGGCUUCGUAGCUCCUCUGUAGUACGGCUGUUCCACCGUUUACGUACGCGGUCAGCUACAUUUUGGUGGCACGAAGACAUUUUGGUUGCUUCCAAGUUUCAGCACUCAUGAAUAACGUUGCUACAAACAUUCAUGUGCAGGUUUUUGCACGGAUGUAAGGUUUUUAGCUCCUUUGAGUAGAUACCAAGGAGUGUGAUUGCUGGAUGGGACGGGAGGCGUACAUACUGGCAGAGUGUCUUCCAAAGUGGCUGCGUUCUCACCAGCAGUGAGUGAGAGGUCCUGUGGUCUCGCAUCCUCCCUGGCACUGGCUGCUGCUGCUGUUCCGGAUUCUGGCUGUUCUCACAGAUGGGGUCUUGCUCUGUCACCCAGGCCAGAGUGCAGUGGCACAAUCACAGCUCACUGCAGCCUUGACCUCCUGAGUUAAAGCUAUCCUCCCACCUCAGCCUCUCAAGUAACUGGGACUACAGUUGAGGGUCCAGAACAGAGCCUAUCCAGGUGGGAAGUGGCAAGGCCAGGAUAUGCCCCCUGGGGACCCUAGGACCAGCUCUGUUCCUAUCUCUGAGCUCCCUCCGCCCAUCAGGUAAGAUCUGGUCACUUCUGUACUGCUUUGAAUCAACUGUGUGCCAGGCACGGGCCAAUCACUGAGAUUUCUAAGGUACACGGGUGGGGCUGGAGGUUAGGAGAGAGCUUUCAAAUCACUUUCAGCCUAGCGGGGAAGGCAGGCCCAUCACCAAGGCAGUCCACCAACAAGGCUAGAGAGAGGCUUAGCCUGAGGGAAGAGCCCCACUUCCGUGGCAUCCUGGGUGACAUUUGAACAACUAACGACUCAUUUCAUUACCCAGGAUCGAGCUUCACCCCAGGCAGAUUCGUUCUAAGAUGAAGGUGCCUACUGCUUGCUGUGGUCCUCAUGUCCUUGUCUCCCAAAAUUCAUAAGUUAAAAUCUUACCCCCAAGUCAUAUCAGGAGGCAGGGUUUAGGGGAGAAGGCUGGGCUAUAAGGAGUGAAUCUCUAGGAAUGGGUUUAGUGUCCUUAGGAAAGAGGCCCUUGAGAGGACCAUCAUCCCUUUUGCCAUGUGAGGUUACAGUAAGAAGUGGCUGGCUAAGCAUAGUGGUUCUUGUCUAUAAUUCCAGCAAUUUGGGAGGCCGAGGUGGGAGGAUCGCUUGAAGCCAGGAGUUUGAGACCAUCCUGAGCAACAUAGGGAAACCUUGUCUCUAUAAAAAAAAAUACAAAAAUUAGGCCAGGCAUGGUGGCUUAUGCCUGUGAUCCCAGCAUUUUGGGAGGCCAAGGCAGGUGGACUGCUUGAGGUCAAGACCAGUCUGGUCAACAUGGUGAAACCCCGUCUCUACUAAAAAUACAAAAAAUUAGCUGGGCAUGGUGGCGCAUGCCUGUAAUCCCAGCUACUCGGGAGGCUGAGGCAGGACAAUUGCCUGAUCCCAGGAGGCGGAGGCUGUGGUGAGCCGAGAUCGCGCCAUUGCACUCCAGCCUGGGCAACAAAGAAGGACCCUGUUUCUAAAAUUUAAAAAAUAAAAUAAAAUAAUAAUAAUGAUAGUAAUAAAGGAAGAGGUCAUUUAUGACCCGGAAAUCAGGCCCUCACCAGAUCUACCAGCACCUUGAUCUUGGAUUCCCAGACUCCAGCACUGUGAGCAGUACCUACAUUCCUACUGUUUACAAGCCAGCCAGUUUAUGGUGGUUUUUUUUUUUUUUUUUUUGAGACGGAGUUUCGCUCUUGCUACCCAGGCUGGAGUGCAAUGGCACGAUCUCGGCUCACCGCAACCUCCGCCUCCUGGGUUCAGGCAAUUCUCCUGCCUCAGCCUCCUGAGUAGCUGGGAUUACAGGCACGCGCCACCAUGCCCAGCUAAUUUUUGUAUUUUUAGUAGAGACGGGGUUUCACCAUGUUGACCACGAUGGUCUCGAUCUCUUGACCUCGUGAUCCACCCGCCUCGGCCUCCCAAAGUGCUGGGAUUACAGGCUUGAGCCCCCGCCCCCGGCCAGUUUAUGGUGUUUUUAUUACAGAAGGCUGGACGGACACAGGCUGGACCUGACUCCAGAAACUG